Molecule: long non-coding RNA, 3964 nt
Organism: Rhinolophus ferrumequinum (greater horseshoe bat)
Lineage: Eukaryota; Metazoa; Chordata; Mammalia; Chiroptera; Rhinolophidae
Exons: 3
Source: RefSeq, a predicted model, not a curated record
UGCCAAACCCAGGCCUGGUUUGGCCUCAGUCGUUUUUCAGAUCUGCUGGGAAAACAGCACAGAAGGAUGGGGUAGCCUGAAUUCCUUCUACCGGAUCCGAGGGACUUUGCUGACAAGUCAGAGCCAGCCCCUGGGUUCACACAUCACUCUGCACUUGGAAAGAACUUUCUGGAAAUGCAAUUCCUCCUCUCAGUCUUGCCCACAGCCCUGUAGGGUGGGACUUGGGUGCUCUCCCCUGUUCUGUGCAGAAGGAGCCAGUCUUGGGGGCGGAGGGCAGAGACGUCCGCAGGAAGCUGGGAGCCCUUCCAUGUCCCGCCUCAGGGCUGGGGAGAGUGUGGGCCCCUUCCCCUCUGGCCCCUGCCUGGCCACUGCCUGGUCACCACAGGUCCCAGCGCAUUGGCAAGGCCGUCCUAGCUCUUGUCUUCUGUUGACACGCAGGCUCAUUCACGUUGAUUUUUUUGAAAGUCGUUACAGAGAGAAGAGCUUUCAAAAUAGAGACACAGAUGUCCUGUUGCAAGAGCCUGGAGCCUUGGGGCUUUGCCUGGGCCUGGACAUCCCCAGGGGUGGCUUCCCCUGGCACAGCAGCUGGCAUCCAGUGGAGAUGCUGGUGAAAGAAGCCAGAAAUGACUGACAGAUGCCACGUCAGUGCUCUGUGAGCCCCUGGUGUGGCCUGGCCCAUUUGGGGCUUCGAGGACACCAAUGUCAGAAUGGAGUUUCCUUUUUCAGAGGGAAGGUCUGGGUAGACGGGGAUGAGACAGGAGCCUGAGAGCGGCUGCUGGUCGGAACCUGGAUGACAGUGACACACCCACCUGCUCGUGGGGAUGCCCACCGUCUGUACAUGCUGCUUGAGACAAAAUCCACCAGCAGGCCGUCAGGACGGCGGCUUCCAUACAUGGUUAGACCUGAGAUGAUGAGGACAGAGGAGCUGGGACCCCAGCAUUUAUUCCUCGAGGGUCCUCUUCCUGUACUCGCUGGCGCCUCAGCCCCAAAGAGAAAUGUGGAGUCUUCCCCCUUCACUAAAAACAAGAUGCAACACGACUUCAAGCUGACGGAAGAGGGAAUUCCCAGCAGCUGUCCUAUGGAAGCCCCCCUGUCGUCCAUGUCGCCAUGGGCUGUGUCCCUCGGAAGCCCUGACCGCCCCACCCCAGUCCUCAGAAUGUGAGUGGGUUUGGAGAUGGGCCUUUACAGAGCAUUUACCUGUGACGUCUGGACUAAUGAAGAUAAACUCUUAAAUGCCAAUUCAGUUACUGAAGUACCAGCCACAGGUUUCUUCCGCUUCUGCUCGAUGGCUGGCUCCGUUCACACUCAGAGAACGUGGUCUGAUGGAAUCCCUGACAAUGUUAUCAUGCAAUGAUACCAUAGAGCAAGAGUGCCGUGGUAGUGACAGCCCAAAAGGCAGCAUUUGGUGUCCAGGAAAAAACCCACAAAGACAAAUGUAAGGAAAAUAUGUGUAAUAAAGACAUAAAGGACUAGUAUCCUUUAUAUAUAAAGAGUUCCCAGAGGAAAUAAGAAGCGUUCACCCUACUGGGACAUCAGGGACCAUCUUCCCCUACAGCCUGGGAAGGGGCACGGCCCUGGGACACCUGGAUCCCGAAUCCUGGCCUCCGGACCUGGGAGAAUACAUUUCUGGUGUUUGAAGCCCUCCGUGUUUAGAUGCUUUGUUACAACAGCCCCAGGAAACAAAUACAGAGACUAUUUCCACCUCUGCAAUUAGCAAAAAUACUUUCUAAAUGAAAAUGCUUACAUGGUGGCCAGGUUUAAAGUCAGGAGUCACCUCGUAGCUUGGCAGCAUGUACCCAAGGCUAUAAGAGCAUUUCUCUUCUUUAACGUGGUAAUUUCGUUUUUAAGGUUUUAUCCUAACAAAAAUUUCAUGUAAGAAUGAAGAUAUUUGGAAAAGGUGCUCGUGAUAACAUUGCUUACGGUAAUGUAUAAAAACAACAAAUGUCUAAGAAUUGCAGAAAGGUUAAAUAAGUGGAAAUGUUAAAUAUAUGUUUGACAUAAUGAAAUAGUCGACAUUUAAAAUAAUGUCUUUAAAUCAAACAUGACACGGAAAUUCUCUUUAUGUACAUAGAAAAAACAGGAUAUAAAACUAUUCAUAUUUGUAGCGUAUAAUCCAAAUUUAUUUUUAAAAUACUUGUAACAUAUUUAUAUAACUAGAAAAAUAUACCGAAACAAUAACAGUGGCGAUAUCUGGGUGGUAGAAUUAUAGAUUAUCUUAACUUUAUUGUUUAUUAUUUCUUACGGAUUCUUCAUAUAUAUCUUAUAAUGGUAUAUAUUCAAUUUUAUGAUCAGGUAAAAGUUUUAGAAUUCCAAAUUAUUACUGUGUUGACUUUUGAUUGAAAUAAUGUGGGAGUAACAAUCUUUGAAAAAUCCAAGAUGUAAUAAUGAUACCCAAUAGAGACCACAAUAUUUACUGCGGGUGAAGUAGUAAAACGACUUAAAUUCGGUAACAAAGACCCAAGUACAGGAUGGGUGUUUCUCCUGAAACAACGAGGAAGAAAGCAAACACGUGACUACUUCCCAAAACCCUCCAGGGCUUGGCCAAGCCAGAGAACCUGUCUCAAUCCAAGUUUUAACACAAAGUGAUUUUUUUUGGUUGGGGGACCCCUCGUGCUCUACCCUUUUCAUUGUUGUCUUUCUUCUUCCCCCCAUUUAUCCCCUAAUCUGUGAGUGUUGGAGUCGGGAGGGACAAAGACCCAGAGAGGAGUGCCUGGACCCCCCAGGGUGGCCUGACCUGCUCUAGGUCACCCAAUUGGAACAAGGCUGAGAUUUGCCCCCCAACUCCCCAGCUCAUGCUGUGACCAAGUGUCCCUGUCUGAAGGAGCAGUCCCACCUCAUUGUCCAAGGAUAGAAGUGUCACCUAGCCAGGCCUCCCACAUCUCCUCCCGGAGUUAUGUGACAAGCUGACCACAUCUCCCUGCCCCUGCAAACUUGUGUGGAAAGCCCCUCAAGUUCUCCGUACUCUGUGCAUUUAGGAUCAGGCCUAGCUGAGGGGUGAGGCUCUGCUUGAAUAAUUCACUGUCCCCACCCAGCUCCCCUCUGGGCCACUGACAGGAAGGUGGGCACCACCUGGGGAGGGCAGGCUCGCCCCUGACCAUGCGGGACUCUGGGCCAGCUGAGCACUGCUGGGUGUCCACCUUCGCUCUUGAGGCAAUGGACACUGUCCCCAGUCUGCAGGCCAUCCUGGCUGGGCUCCAGUUGCAGUGCUGGUCCCGGCAGUGCCAACUGCCUCCCCAGGAUGUAGUCACCCUGGUCACCUUGCACAGGAGAGGGGCAGCUCCCUGAAAGACACCAGGUGGGCUGGGUGGGCCAGCAUGUCUCAGGCCCGAGCUACUGGUUCUCAGCCCCAGGGCUUGAGGGCAUGGUCCCCUUCAGGUCUCCCUCCCCCAGGAGUUCAACCUAGGGGCAUCUGUGGGACUGCAGGGCUCCCAGUACCCUUUGGGGAGAGCUCCCCUCUGUGGGUGGGUGACUGCUGGGGUCACUGCCAGACCAACGGACCAAAGGAUGGGGGUGGGACUGGAGCCCCUCCCACUCCACCUCAGGGGGACGCUCCCUUGACACCCAUACCUACUCAUCGUCACGUGACCUGAAUGAACACUGCCCGUGAGGCUGACCAGUCAGGUUGACCAGUCAGGCUGGGCUCCCAGUGGGUUUGGCUGCUGCCUGGGCUGGGACCUCUGAUGGUGAGGACAGGUUGUCCUGCCUUGGGCUCUGGCUCCUGGUCCGUCCUUGUCUGGCAGCCUGCGAUCUGCCGCCCCCAUGCCCUUCCACUGAAGAAUAUUCUACCUUCAGGUCCCCACAGCCACCAGCCAGUCCAUGGGGUGCUCAAGGCCUGUAACCCCCAAAAUGUUCAUUUCCCUUUUUGUCAGUGGGGUCAGUCCUAGGGAGUCCCAAAGCAGGGACACAGCUCUGACCACAGCCAGAGCCAAGCACACGUGCGUAGGCACACCCAUACACACACACA